RNAcentral lists this unclassified non-coding RNA (300 nucleotides) under uncultured Laccaria. RNAcentral describes it as "sequence contains 5.8S rRNA gene, ITS2". The stretch from base 1 to 71 matches the Rfam family "5.8S ribosomal RNA", at positions 84 to 154 of the family's 154-position model. The record is from RNAcentral. Lineage: Eukaryota; Fungi; Basidiomycota; Agaricomycetes; Agaricales; Tricholomataceae.
GUGAAUCAUCGAAUCUUUGAACGCACCUUGCGCUCCUUGGUAUUCCGAGGAGCAUGCCUGUUUGAGUGUCAUUAAAUUCUCAACCUUCCAACUUUUAUUAGCUUGGUUAGGCUUGGAUGUGGGGGUUGCGGGCUUCAUUAACGAGGUCGGCUCUCCUUAAAUGCAUUAGCGGAACUUUUGUGGACCGUCUAUUGGUGUGAUAAUUAUCUACGCCGUGGAUGUGAAGCAGCUUUAUGAAGUUCAGCUUCUAACCGUCCAUUUAUUUGGACAAUUUUUGACAAUUUGACCUCAAAUCAGGUA